GCCAGAGAUACAGAUCCUUUGAUAACGGCACUAUCACCGGCGGGCAUAUUCCUCUCGUGUCAGGAAUGCUUCUAGGAGUCUGAAUCAUCUAAGUAAUCAUACCAAACUGUCACUCCUUUUCCAGGGUUUGCCAAUAGGCUUUAAUGAGUCAGAGUACUCCUGAUAUUGAGCAAAGGUGAGAGCUUCCUCAAAACUAAUGUGUUUUUGAGGAUUACACAACGAUGCGAGUGAUUCUGAGGUGUAGUUUCUACAUUAGAGAAGAUUUGUCGCAACGGACCAUUGGAACCAUUGGGACCACGGGGAAUAUGUUGUAAUUGUUAAACAAUGACGAUUUCACUUUCUUUUUUAAAUGUACAGUAUGACUUGGGUGAUUUCGCCUACAGUCCCUGUAAAUGUGAGGCAGCUCCCAAAAGAAAUUUAGCCCGUCUGCACCAAACACCGGUCCAGAGGCCUAAGCCAUGGGAUAAUGGAAAGAAAAUAGCGGACAUUCUAACUGGAUCAGUCUGCUAAAAUAUGAAAAUAUGAAUUAUGUUGAUCAUAGAAAAUAUAGACUAUACAUAAUAACUAACAAAGCAUCAUUCUGUUGUAUUUCAGGAGUCAUGUAUUAAUUAUUUACAUUUACAUUAUUUAAUAUUAUCAAACACACACACACACGCAUACAUAUAUAUAUAUAUAUAUAUAUAUAUGUGUGUGUGUGUAUGUAUGUAUGUUUGACUGCAAAUCAUCUUACACAAUAAAAAAAAAAAGUAAAUGUAUCUUGUUUAUCAAGUAUAUUUAAUCAUAUUCUCAAAGAAUAUAUUUUUAAGUAGUAUGUAUUCUAAAUAAAAUGCAUGUCUAAAUAAAUGUUUCCCACCUGACUGGCAAGAAAAUAAUUAUAAAAUGUCACAUCAACUAUGUUGUGAUUCUGAGUGGGGUGUAAAACUAAGUUCCGCUGCACAUUUAUAGGUAACAGAUUAAAUUAGACUGAGAAAUUGAGAAUCGGGCUCUUAAUUUGAGUUGGAGUUCGUAAUCGUCUAGCAAUAACAAGACAAGAGGAGGGGAAGAGGAGGAGAUGAGUGAAUAAAAGGGGAGUGAAUGAGAGAAGAUGUGAGGACAAAAGAGGGGUGUACGGAUAACAGCCUCCACACAGGGAGCCGUUUACCCUCCCUGAUGUUCCACAGCGGGAAAAAAAAACACUGUUGAAUUAUGUCAACAGCUGUGAAGUCUAUAAAAUGGCCUAAUACUUGUCUUUUUUUCCACAAUAGCCCGUCUGCACCAAACACCGGUCCAGAGGCCUAAGCCAUGGGAUAAUGGAAAGAAAAUAGCGGACAUUCUUGUGGCGGCCCACAGAAACCGGGGCCGUGCAAUAAAGACAGACGAGAUCACUAGUAAAGUAUACACACACUCAAACAGAGGAAAGAUGCAGCCAACUACGCCACAUGGGAGGGAAGGACCUGGGGUCUGGGAACCCUCCCUUAUGAUCUGUGAACUGGCAACCGGCUGUUCUCUAACUGCUGGGCUCAACUGAUGUUUGGCUAUGAAAAAUGAAAGUGAUGAAUUAUUACUAAUCUGCGGAUCAUUUUCUGUAUUAAGCCCACCAGACUUUGUUUUUAAUCAUGAAGGAAACAGGAGAAGAAAAUGCCUGACCACAUGUGCAAUUUCUAAUUUCUUUUACAGGACAAUUAUAAUAAGAAGAAAAACAAACAUGUCAUUUACAAAUUAGCAUUAUAUAAUGCUUAACAUACCUGUUUUAUUCAAAUGAAAAACAUUAUUUAAUGUCAUAUUUGUGGUGCACAUGCUCAUGCAUAAGAGUUGUUGGCUCAGUGACCCAGGUUUGAGUCCGACUUGGGUCAUGUCCCACUCCCACUCCCCCGCUCACACCCAUGCUUUCCUGUCCAACAGUACAAAACAACAAACAAUUUUUAUACCU
This is a long non-coding RNA of Sinocyclocheilus anshuiensis, 1909 nucleotides long. The record is from Ensembl. NCBI's taxonomy places the organism in Eukaryota, Metazoa, Chordata, Actinopteri, Cypriniformes, Cyprinidae.